Long non-coding RNA from Aedes aegypti (yellow fever mosquito), 1342 nucleotides. RefSeq lists it as uncharacterized. The transcript has 4 exons. The record is from RefSeq and is a predicted model, not a curated record. NCBI's taxonomy places the organism in Eukaryota, Metazoa, Arthropoda, Insecta, Diptera, Culicidae.
GCUCGACGUUGGCGUAGAAGGAAAUACGUUUCGGACGUCACCUUCACGGAUUACGGGGGGGAAUGUAAGUUGCGCCACGUCGACCAGCGAACCCCACGCUUCCCCAUCAACCAUCACUGAUGACAAGUCGAUCGAUGAUUGCCGCUCCCACAGCACACGCGGAGGAUCGGCUUGCAACGAAACAUCAAAAAAGGGCAGUCAUAAGUCACCUAAGUCACCUCAAAAACGAUUUUGAGAGAAAUUGUUUAGACGUAUCACCAGAAUUAGAGUUUAUGCCACGACAUUUAUUCAAUUAGAAUUAGUUAAAAAUUGAACCUUCAUUUAAUACGGCUACUUGUCUUGCUUUACAGAUUUCUAAGAAGAGCGUAAAAAUCAUUGCACUAUAAAUUUGGGAAACUAUGUGGUUAGGUUCUUUAACUGAAUAGCCCAUCCCUACCCAUUAUAAGUUGUGAUCGACUUGAGUUUGCUCGUGAUUACUAAAGUAUUUUAUAAUUUACAUCAAUACGAACCGAAUAAAUUCAUGAAAUCAUCAAUUACGAGCAUUGUCGGCCAACAAGUGUUCGAAAGGUGUAAUUUAUAAAAAUGACACACUUUCCACGCGUAGUGUUUAAUACGUGAAAAAUCAACAGCUUAGUACGUUUUCACCUAUCAGGAAGUUUGCACAUCAUGUUUCAAAAAAAAAACUUCUCAGCCAUAAGCUUCGUAGAUAUCACUCAAAAAUAUAUGCCCUAGACCUCACAAAAACACUACAUUUUAUGCACUUCAAUGCAUUUUAUCCAGCGCAAUCAGUCUCAAUGAACUAAAAAAAACAAAUUGAUGAUCUCUUCCUAGCAGGCCCACAAAACCCAUCCACCACAACGUGCUUCUCUCCGCGAUCAUCUCACACCAGCUCAAAAAUUUAUUCUUUUCACCACCACACACUGUUCACAGAAACAAAAACUCGCCGGGAAGCUAUCUAUCGACUCCACGCGACAUGACUCCAGCCAGCGCUCACUUCUGUAGUAGGAGGCAGCCGAAAUUCGCACUUUUGUUUUGAUGGAUUUCGACUGUGGCCAUGUGUGUUUCUCGCGUGUAUUUCGCUACUCGGUCGCUUCUGCUGCUAUUGUUGUUGCUACUCUGCUCUCGCCCAGACUGGUAUUGGUAUUUCGAAUUCCAAAGCAUAUGCACGAUAAACACAACAAAAACGAAGAAACGUUCUUGCUCGGCGAUCCGGUGAACGAAGAUCGCGACCGACGACGAUUCGCACAACACCACAGGUCGAGACGGGGCGGGCAAUGGGUGAAGGGAAUCCACGGAAGAUGCUGCUGCUGUUGCACUAGGUGACACACAUUCGAUAGCAUGC